AGCUGUGAAUGGGGCAGCAUUGUUUUUAAGCUGUCCUAUAAGAUCUGAUAUGGCUGGAUGGGUGAAUAUAUUACCUAUGCUAUGCCUAUCCACGUCUAUCAAAGAUAUGACAGGGAGUAAAUCAGGACAGUUGGGAGUGAAGUGAACAUCUUUCUGGAACAAGACACAGCCCUACAGCUCUGUUGAGGGACCUGCAAUUACAGUCUUGUCCCAUCGCUGCAACUCCCGUACGGACUCUGGAGAGGCAAACGUAGAGAGCCACACGUCCUCCGAAACACAGGCCUGCACAACCCUGCCACUGCUUCUUAACACACUGCUCGCUUAACCCGGAAGCCAGGUGCACCAAUGUGUCGGAGGAAACUCUGUACAGCUGUUGACAGAAGUCCGCGUGCAUAUGCCCGGCCCACCACAAGAAGUCGCUAGAGUGUGAAGGGACAAGAACAUCGCUGCCGGCCAAACCCUCCCCUAAACCAGAAGACGCAGGGCCAAUUGUGCGCCGCCUCAUGGGUCCCCCGGUCGC
Molecule: long non-coding RNA, 520 nt
Organism: Oncorhynchus tshawytscha (Chinook salmon)
Lineage: Eukaryota; Metazoa; Chordata; Actinopteri; Salmoniformes; Salmonidae
Exons: 3
Source: RefSeq, a predicted model, not a curated record